GGAUUAGAUACCCUGGUAGUCCACGCCGUAAACGAUGGGUACUAGGUGCUGCGGGUAUUUGACCCCUGCAGUGCCGUAAGUUAACGCGUUAAGUACCCCGCCUGGGGAGUACGGUCGCAAGAUUAAAACUCAAAGGAAUUGACGGGGGCCCGCACAAGCGGUGGAGCAUGUGGUUUAAUUCCAAGCAACGCGCAGAACCUUACCCAGGCUUGACAUCCUGAGAACUUGCCAGAAAUGGCUUGGUGCCCUUCGGGGAGCUCAGUGACAGGUGCUGCAUGGCUGUCGUCAGCUCGUGUUG
RNAcentral lists this ribosomal RNA (298 nucleotides) under uncultured bacterium. Its description in RNAcentral is "partial 16S ribosomal RNA". It matches the Rfam family "Bacterial small subunit ribosomal RNA", at positions 775 to 1067 of the family's 1533-position model. The record is from RNAcentral.